Molecule: ribosomal RNA, 694 nt
Filed under: Bacillus sp. ISP5-41-3
Lineage: Bacteria; Bacillati; Bacillota; Bacilli; Caryophanales; Bacillaceae
Description: bacterial SSU rRNA
Rfam family: Bacterial small subunit ribosomal RNA
Source: RNAcentral
AGUCGAGCGAAUGGAUUGAGAGCUUGCUCUCAAGAAGUUAGCGGCGGACGGGUGAGUAACACGUGGGUAACCUGCCCAUAAGACUGGGAUAACUCCGGGAAACCGGGGCUAAUACCGGAUAACAUUUUGAACUGCAUGGUUCGAAAUUGAAAGGCGGCUUCGGCUGUCACUUAUGGAUGGACCCGCGUCGCAUUAGCUAGUUGGUGAGGUAACGGCUCACCAAGGCAACGAUGCGUAGCCGACCUGAGAGGGUGAUCGGCCACACUGGGACUGAGACACGGCCCAGACUCCUACGGGAGGCAGCAGUAGGGAAUCUUCCGCAAUGGACGAAAGUCUGACGGAGCAACGCCGCGUGAGUGAUGAAGGCUUUCGGGUCGUAAAACUCUGUUGUUAGGGAAGAACAAGUGCUAGUUGAAUAAGCUGGCACCUUGACGGUACCUAACCAGAAAGCCACGGCUAACUACGUGCCAGCAGCCGCGGUAAUACGUAGGUGGCAAGCGUUAUCCGGAAUUAUUGGGCGUAAAGCGCGCGCAGGUGGUUUCUUAAGUCUGAUGUGAAAGCCCACGGCUCAACCGUGGAGGGUCAUUGGAAACUGGGAGACUUGAGUGCAGAAGAGGAAAGUGGAAUUCCAUGUGUAGCGGUGAAAUGCGUAGAGAUAUGGAGGAACACCAGUGGCGAAGGCGACUUUCUGGUC